GUCCACGCCGUAAACGGUGGAUGCUGGAUGUGGGCCCGUUCCACGGGUUCCGUGUCGGAGCUAACGCGUUAAGCAUCCCGCCUGGGAGUACGGCCGCAAGGCUAAACUCAAGAAUUGACGGGCCCGCACAAGCGGCGGAGCAUGCGGAUUAAUUCGAUGCAACGCGAAGAACCUUACCUGGGCUUGACAUGUUCCCGACAGCCGUAGAGAUAUGGCCUCCCUUCGGGGCGGGUUCACAGGUGGUGCAUGGUCGUCGU
RNAcentral lists this ribosomal RNA (257 nucleotides) under uncultured bacterium. RNAcentral's name for it is "partial 16S ribosomal RNA". It matches the Rfam family "Bacterial small subunit ribosomal RNA", at positions 793 to 1055 of the family's 1533-position model. The record is from RNAcentral.